RNAcentral lists this long non-coding RNA (942 nucleotides) under Monodelphis domestica (gray short-tailed opossum). RNAcentral describes it as "lncRNA (ENSMODG00000031110.2)". The record is from RNAcentral. Lineage: Eukaryota; Metazoa; Chordata; Mammalia; Didelphimorphia; Didelphidae.
GUCAAAGGCAACCUUAAAUCUAAUCUAGACAUCAAUACAAACUUCCUAAAAUUUUAUUUAUAGUUUAAGCUAUCAAAUGACCAUUAGUUUCUAUAUUAUUUGGAGAAGGCAUUGAUGGGAAUAUUUUUACUUUAAGAAAAAGGGGGAAAGGAGGUGGAGUCAAGAUGGCUGCAUAGAAGGAGCAGAAGUUCAGACCUCUGAAUACACUUCCGUACAGAUCACAAACUGAAUGCUCCUAGGGAAUUGAAAAUCAAACCUAACAACAAGAGAGCCAAGGAACCCUCCUGCUGGACUCAACUCAAAAGGGACUCCAACCAAGAGAAGAAUUCCUUGGGGGCUCAACAGAACUCUGCAGAGGCAGAAAAGAGGAUGUGAAUGUGGCCUAGAAUCGGGAUUUUCUUCGUCUGCCACUGAGUUGUAAUUUGGAAAAAACAAAAAGGCCUUGUGUUGCUGGGAAGGAAAAUAUCUAAGAAGGAACUGGUUGUAUCUAGGAUGUAAAAAUAAUGAAUGCUUAACUGAGAAAAGAAAUGAGAGGACCUAUCACAAUUAGCUGACAUGAUGUGGAUGAAUAUUUAGUAAAGAGUCUGAAAAGUAGCAGUCAGACAGAGAUACAGAGAAGCAUUGAGGCAAGUGACACUGGAAACCUCUGCUCUGUCUGGAAAAGAUCAACCUACUCCCCCAUCUGUAGGAUAUUUUCAAGAAUUGAAGUCAUUGGUUCACACCUUCUGCUGAUCAUGAGUGCUGUUGAAUGAGAUUAAGAAACUGAACCAGGAGCAAAAUGAUCUCUGGUCACACAAGUGUCAGAGACAGAAUUCAAAUCCAGAUUUCUUCUGACCUCCAAAUUUAUCAUGCAUUCCACUAUGCUAGGAGAUCUUAACAGAAGUCCACAAACCUGUUGUGUUUUUUAAUAUAAUGAUGUCAAUAAAUUUGACUCCCCUUUCA